This is a long non-coding RNA of Nothoprocta perdicaria, 1329 nucleotides long. RefSeq lists it as uncharacterized. NCBI's taxonomy places the organism in Eukaryota, Metazoa, Chordata, Aves, Tinamiformes, Tinamidae. The record is from RefSeq and is a predicted model, not a curated record. The transcript is spliced from 2 exons.
UUUCCUGCCAGAAUCAUUAACUGGAAAUCGACUGGAAAUGUUUUAUUACCACAGAAACACUGGGACCGCUCAUGGAGACCUGCCUGGACUACUUCAUCCAGUCUGCAAACAUAUGUAGAACUGUUUUGAAUAGUCUCUUCAAGUGUGGAAAAGUACUGUUAGUAAAAUACUAGUGCAUGUUAUUUCCAGCUUGUUGAUGAUACGCAUUUCAAACUUAAUUUUAUGGCAAUAUCUCUAUCCUUCAUUCCAGCUCUUCUUGUUCUUCGUCAGCUUGUUCUUCGGCUUGUUCUUCUCUCCCCUUCUCUGCAUUUUAAGGCUGCUUUUCCUUUCCCUCCCAAUAUUUCUACAUAAAUUAUCCAGACAAUGACUGUCUUCUCCUACAGCCUUUAUUGAGUGUUCUUUCAUUUUUUCUACUAAGGAGAUAUAUUUAGUGCUCUGAACUUCUUAUGUUUCUGGAAAAAAACCAUAUCCGGCCCUUCCCUCAUUUGUGAUACCUAAAAGAUAAAACCUAAGAGGGACGUGGCUUCUGUCUGGUGGUUAACCUGAGCUCUUGUGUGAGUAACCAUGAGUUAAAUAGUGCCUGCGCUGCAGAAGUGCCUAACAAUGGAAUUCUUCAAUGUAUAGUCGCUGUGGAAAAACACACUGGUGUAACUGCAACAGAAUAUCGAUCUUUCAGAAUAUCAUUCUCUUCCUCUUAUAUACAUCAGACCACAUCUCGAGCUUUCAUUUCUUUCUAAUAUGAAUAAUUUAGUUUGCGAAAUAUCUCUAUGAAUUUUAUUUCUUCUCCAAGAACCGCUCUUGCCAUUUCACUGAAAUUGAAAAGCAGAUUUUUUGUUAUAUUAAACUAAUCCUCUGGACAGGAAAGAAUUCUACCUUAAAAGGCAGAAUUAUUAAAAGAUCUGUCAUAUAGGCCAUACAAAAUAUGUGUUUUAAAACUGAAGAAAACAUUGUCUUGAAAAUGGGACCAACGUAGCCGAAAAUUCUGCCAAAAUGACACUAACAGCUGAAAACUACCUGUUUUGAACUUGAAUUUGUAAAGUGUAGGAGUAURUAGUUUCUUUUAAAUUUGUCACUUUAAACAAAUAUAAUUAAAGGAUAAAAGGGAGGUUAAAAUAGCUCAUCUUUCACUACAGUAUUCAUAUGCUAAAUAGUUUUAAAGGUAAUUUUCUUGGUCUUGAUUUCCUCAAGUCUUGUACAUUACUAACGUAACUGAAGGAAGGUAGUAGUCUCAGAGUCAUUAAGAUGUUGUGCUUCAUUGCUUAUUAUUAUGGAAUACAUAUGGAUAGUUUUUCUGCAAUAUUUUCUAUUUUGUAUUUAGUAAAUAUAUAA